RNAcentral lists this long non-coding RNA (649 nucleotides) under Gallus gallus (chicken). RNAcentral describes it as "long non-coding RNA NONGGAT005160". Lineage: Eukaryota; Metazoa; Chordata; Aves; Galliformes; Phasianidae. The record is from RNAcentral.
GUUGGACCAUCAGAGCCGGCCUUUAUCUGCACCUGAAGAGAUGCUUUGAGAUCUAACCUGAACCAUCCCAAACGUGUUCCCCUGCCAUCUGCCCAGAGAGCAGGGAACACCAGUCCAGGAGUCAACCUUGGGGGGGUUCAAGAGCAUCCGUAUGCUUGCAUCCGUGGACCACUGUAUCUAGAAACUUUCCCUGCUGGCAGACACACGUCCCUGCUUGGCUCACACACCUGGCACUUCUCCACCCGUCCCCUUCAGCAAAGGUGUUUGAGUUGCUCACGGUGGUACAGCCUUGGUGACAUCGCUGCCAGCUCUGCGACAAGAAGACAGCACUCUGGUGUCCUCCGUCAUGUCAUCCCUAUGGAGCCCAGGGACAAAACUUCAUGAGUCUGGCCAGGAGAAGCAGGAGAGAGCUGAUAACCCCAUCCCUUCCACGUCUUGGGCUUACGGUAACCUCGGAUGCCACGGGGCAAAUUCCGCAGUGCUGCUUAAGGUGCCAUAAUUUAGAGCCUCUCAGCUUUGCUAAGGCUCCCUGAGUACCACGUGCCCCCUGUCUGCUGAUGCAUAAAGUAACCUGAAUCAGUGUAAUUUAUGCACCAAUGAAAAGGUGCAAGCUAAAAUACCUCCCAGCCUAAAAUAGCCUCUAAGUGAG